GGGGGCUGGGUUGUGUUGGGAAGAGGAGGGGGGCUGGGUUGUGUUGGGAAGAGGAGGGGGGCUGGGUUGUGUUGGGAAGAGGAGGGGAGCUGGGUUGUGUUGGGAAGAGGAGGGGCUGGGUUGUGGGUAGGCAGAGGGAGCUGGGUUGUGUUGGAAAGAAGAGGGGAGCUGGGUUGUGUUGGGAAGAGGACGGGGGGCUGGGUUGUGUUGGGAAGAGGACGGGGGCUGGGUUGUGUUGGGAAGAGGACGGGGGCUGGGUUGUGUUGGGAAGAGGAGGGGGGCUGGGUUGUGUGGGUAGGCAGAGGGAGCUGGGUUGUGUUGGAAAGAAGAGGGGAGCUGGGUUGUGUUGGGAAUUAUAUUGCGAGA
Oncorhynchus tshawytscha (Chinook salmon) is the source of this 366-nucleotide long non-coding RNA. The record is from Ensembl. NCBI's taxonomy places the organism in Eukaryota, Metazoa, Chordata, Actinopteri, Salmoniformes, Salmonidae.